GUAACGGUGUCACUGACACCCUGUAUAUUAUCCCUCCAUUCCAGCUCAGCCACCAUGGAGGGAGAUGCGCGGACGAUGCUCCUGUGGGUGUUGCUGGCCACUGCGGUGGCGUGCGCCGCCGCCUGGGGCUGCAAGCAGUGCCUCUACAGGGAUGGUAUAUAUAACACAAGCUCAUCACUACAUCCCACUUGGGGUAGUCAGAAGUACAUACAUCGCAAGAUGAACCAGAUAUAAAGCGGAGGCGAGGAAGAGUGAUAUCAAGGCCAGGUGACACCGCGUCCCCGGGCCAGGGACCACAACCUGAACACUCCACCAUCAAUGCUAGCAACCAGGGGUUACCAACCAGCAACCCGAAUGUAUACUCUGCACAUCCAAGCGUACCAACCUACACGCCGCAUUCCCACCCGACGCACCCAACACAUCAGACGGUGAUACCCUACACGACCUCAUAUCCCGCGAACCCGGUAGCAAUCAACAAUCUGUCCGCAUGUCCUAACAACCUGUAUCCUAACCCAGUACCGAUAGUAAACCCAACGGGAUAUCACAUUACCCCGGGAGCACCUUAUAACCCACCCUUUAAUCCCGGGAAUCCGGGAGAGACUCCUUACAAUCCGACCGCCCCGGCCGGACCAUACCCGCACGUCGUGCCGCCGCCGCUGUCGUGCGAGUGUGCCCCCAACACGGGUCGGCACCCCGCCGCCACAUACUGACUCCACAUCCAUCAUCUACCAAGCGAUAUCCCGGUCUUCACGGAUUCCGUUUAUCUAGCCUGACUAUUUGACAGAUCCGGUUUGUGUGUCGACUACCAACGUGUCCAUCCAUAAAAUCUAUAAUUAUAAUUGGGCGGAAGGCAAGAGGGAAACCACUGCCCUAUUUUUCCCUAAAAAAGUAGCAUGGAAAAUGCUGCACCGAUAAGAGCGUGGCUCUUAAAUUAAUGAUGAUGAUGAAUUAUAAUAUAAUAUUUAUUUUAUAAGUAUUUCUCUUCCUU
RNA transcript from Pectinophora gossypiella (pink bollworm), 988 nucleotides. It is a transcript of the gene named nematocyst expressed protein 4-like, with no coding region annotated. The record is from RefSeq and is a predicted model, not a curated record. The transcript is spliced from 3 exons. NCBI's taxonomy places the organism in Eukaryota, Metazoa, Arthropoda, Insecta, Lepidoptera, Gelechiidae.